RNAcentral lists this ribosomal RNA (385 nucleotides) under uncultured bacterium. Its description in RNAcentral is "bacterial SSU rRNA". It matches the Rfam family "Bacterial small subunit ribosomal RNA", at positions 28 to 407 of the family's 1533-position model. The record is from RNAcentral.
GAUGAACGCUAGCGACAGGCCUAACACAUGCAAGUCGAGGGGCAGCAUAAAGGUAGCAAUACUUUGGUGGCGACCGGCGCACGGGUGAGUAACACGUAUGCAACCUACCUGUAAGAGGGGAAUAACCCGGAGAAAUUCGGACUAACACCGCAUAAUACCGCGAGACUGCAUGGUCUUGUGGUUAAAUAUUUAUAGCUUACAGAUGGGCAUGCGUAUGAUUAGCUAGUUGGUGAGGUAACGGCUCACCAAGGCAACGAUCAUUAGGGGUUCUGAGAGGAAGGUCCCCCACACUGGUACUGAGACACGGACCAGACUCCUACGGGAGGCAGCAGUGAGGAAUAUUGGUCAAUGGGCGAGAGCCUGAACCAGCCAAGUCGCGUGAAGG